This 2932-nucleotide ribosomal RNA is filed under the name fermentation metagenome. RNAcentral describes it as "bacterial LSU rRNA". It matches the Rfam family "Bacterial large subunit ribosomal RNA". The record is from RNAcentral.
UAGGUCCAUGGUGAAUGCCUGUGGAGCUGCAAGGCGAAGAAGGCCGUGAUAAGCUGCGAAAAGCCGCGGGGAGAAGCACAUAUUUGUUGAUCCGCGGACUGCCGAAUGGGGUAACCCGUCAGGAGCGAUUCUGACACCGCAACGUCUGAAUAAAAUAGGGCGGCGGAGCGAAACUGUGUGAAGUGAACCAUCUAAGUAACACGGGAGAAGAAAUCAAAAGAGAUUCCGUAAGUAGCGGCGAGCGAACGCGGAAGAGCCCAAACCACACAAGUGGGGUUGAAGGGCCGCAUGGGGAUGACCCGGAAAGUUAGAGAAAACCGAUUUAUAGCGGAAUGAUUCAGGAAAGGUCAGCGGGACAGCGUGAAAGCCGCGUACGCGAAAUGAAUCGGACUUUCUGAUGCGGUACCUGAGUACGGCGGGACACGAGAAACCCUGUCGGAAACUGGGUCGACCACGAUCCAAGGCUAAAUACUCGGCAGCUACCGAUAGUGCACAAGUACCGUGAGGGAAAGGUGAAAAGAACCCCGGCAAGGGGAGUGAAAUAGAACCUGAAACCAUGGACUGGCAAGAUGUCGCAGCGCGCAAGCGUGGCGGCGUGUCUUUUGUAGAAUAAACCUGCGAGUUGUCUUAUGCAGCGAGGCUAAGGGAUAGAAGUUCCGGAGCCGGAGCGAAAGCGAGUCUGAAAAGGGCGUUUUAGUUGCAUGAGGCAGACCCGAAGCCAAGGUGAUCUAAUCAUGGGCAGGUUGAAGCCAGGGUAAAACCUGGUGGAGGACCGAACAGUAAUCUGUUAAAAAAGGUAGUGAUGACCUGUGAUUAGGAGUGAAAGGCUAAACAAACCUGGAAAUAGCUGGCUCUCCCCGAAAUGCCUUUAGGGACAGCCUCAUACAAAGCCGGCGGAGGUAAAGCACUGGAUGGGCUAGGGGGCGUCAAAGUCUACCGAAACCAAUCAAACUCUGAAUGCCGCCGACCAGCGUAUGGGAGUGAGACCGUGUGCUCCAAGGUUCAUGGUCAAAAGGGAAACAGCCCAAACCGGCAACUAAGGUCCCGAAAUAACGCUAAGUGUGAAAUGAAGUGCGAAUGCACAGACAGCCAGGAGGUUGGCUCAGAAGCAGCCAUUCCUUAAAAGAGUGCGUAACAGCUCACUGGUCGAGCAUGCGUGCGCAGACAAUGUAACGGGGCUAAGCGUUAUACCGAAGUUCCGGACUCAUGCAGCAAUGCGUGAUUGGUAGGGGAGCAUUCCAUAGACUGAAGAAGGAAUACCUGUGAGGGGUUCUGGAGGAGAUGGAAGAGAGAAUGCAGGCACAAGUAACGAAAAGACGGGUGAGAUUCCCGUCCGCCGAAAACCUAAGGUUUCCUGGGUAAAGGCAAUCUGCCCAGGGUAAGUCGGCCCCUAAGACGAGGGAGAAAUCCGUAGCCGAUGGGAAAUUGGUUUAUACUCCAAUACCUUCAUCAGUUUUUACGACAGGACGCAUGAGGUGAAAUCCGGCCGGAGAAUGGUAGUUCCGGUCAAAGCAUUAACCUGAUGAGGGAGGCGGUAAACACACCUCCUGAGGGAAGAUGUGACAGCGAGCAGAGAGAAAGUCGAAGCGAAGCGGACGUAAUCAUGGUGCCGGGAAAAACUGUCUAAAGCUAGGCUGGUGGAGACCGUACCGGAAACCGACACAGGUAGGAAGGAUGAGUAAUCUAAGGCGCACGAGCGACCUCGCGUUAAGGAACUCGGCAAAAUGCACACGUAACUUCGGAAGAAGUGUGGCUCACAUUGUCAAAGAUAGUGAGCGGCAGAAAGCAGGCCCAGGCGACUGUUUACCAAAAACACAGCCAUCUGCGAACCAGCAAUGGGACGUAUAGGUGGUGACACCUGCCCGGUACUGGAAGGUUAAGAGGAGCGGUGAGAAGCAAUUCAAAGCUGCGAAUCGAAGCCCCAGCAAACGGCGGCCGUAACUAUAACGGUCCUAAGGUAGCGAAAUUCCUUGUCGGGUAAGUUCCGACCCGCACGAAUGGUGUAACGAUUCUGGGCACUGUCUCAACGCGAGACUCGGUGAAACUUAUAUGUCGGUAAAGAAGCCGACUACCCAUAAUUAGACGGAAAGACCCCGUGAACCUUCACCGUAACUUAUCAUUGGGAUCCUAUUUAUCAUGUGUAGGAUAGCUGGGAGACAGCGAGGCGUGGGCGUCAGCCUGCGCGGAGUCGCCGGUGAAAUACCAGCCUUGAUGAAUGGGAUUUCUAACCUGCGCCGUGAAACCGGAGCGGGGACAAUGGUAGGCAGGCGGUUUGACUGGGGCGGUCGCCUCCAAAAGAGUAACGGAGGUGCGCGAAGGUCUCCUCGCGGUGGUUGGAAAUCAUCGUAUGAGUGUAAAGGCACAAGGAGGCUUGACUGCGAGCGUGACAGCGCGAGCAGGUACGAAAGUAGGUCUUAGUGAUCUGAUGGUUUCGAGUGGAAGGGCCAUCACUUAACGGACAAAAGGUACUCCGGGGAUAACAGGCUGAUUUUCCCCAAGAGUUCACAUCGACGGGAAAGUUUGGCACCUCGAUGUCGGCUCAUCGCAUCCUGGGGCUGGAGCAGGUCCCAAGGGUUUGGCUGUUCGCCAAUUAAAGCGGUACGUGAGCUGGGUUCAGAACGUCGCGAGACAGUUCGGUCCCUAUCUGUUAUGGGCGCUGGAUGUUUGAGAGGGGCUGCUUUUAGUACGAGAGGACCGAAGUGGACGAACCUCUGGUUUACCGGUUAUCCUGCCAAGGGUAAGUGCCGGGUAUCUAAGUUCGGAAGGGAUAACCGCUGAAAGCAUCUAAGCGGGAAGCCCGCCUCAAGAUCAUACAUCCCUGAGGGUUCGACCCUCCUGAAGACUCCGGAGAGACUAUCCGGUUGAUAGGCUGCAGGUGUAAGCGCGGUGACGCGUUCAGCCGAGCAGUACUAAUAAGUCGUGAGGCUUGACC